CGGGAGUAACAACCUGGAAACAAGAUGCUAAUAACCGGAUAACAAACAGAUGAUGCCUAUCAACUGUUUAAAAGAUGGUUCUGCUAUCACUCUUGGAUGGACCUGCGGUGCAUUAGCUAGUUGGUAGGGUAACGGCCUACCAAGGCGAUGAUGCAUAGCCGAGUUGAGAGACUGAUCGGCCACAUUGGGACUGAGACACGGCCCAAACUCCUACGGGAGGCAGCAGUG
RNAcentral lists this ribosomal RNA (228 nucleotides) under uncultured Lactobacillus sp. Its description in RNAcentral is "partial 16S ribosomal RNA". It matches the Rfam family "Bacterial small subunit ribosomal RNA", at positions 138 to 356 of the family's 1533-position model. The record is from RNAcentral. Lineage: Bacteria; Bacillati; Bacillota; Bacilli; Lactobacillales; Lactobacillaceae.